Molecule: ribosomal RNA, 497 nt
Filed under: uncultured bacterium
Lineage: Bacteria
Description: partial 16S ribosomal RNA
Rfam family: Bacterial small subunit ribosomal RNA
Source: RNAcentral
GAUGAACGCUGGCGGCGUGCCUAAUACAUGCAAGUCGAGCGAACGGACUAUAAGCUUGCUUCUCUGAUGUUAGCGGCGGACGUGUUAGUAACACGUGGAUAACCUCCCUAUAAGACUGGGAUAACUUCGGGAAUCCGGAGCUAAUACCGGAUAAUAUUUUGAACCGCAUGGUUCAACAGUGAAAGACGGUCUUGCUGUCACUUAUAGAUGGAUCAGCGCUGCAUUAGAUAGUUGUUAAGGUAACGGAUUACCAAGGCAACGAUGCAUAGCCCACCUGAGAGGGUGAACGGACACACUGGAACUGAGACACGGUCCAGACACCUACGGGAGGAAGCAGUAGGGAAUCUUACGCAAUGGGGGAAAGCCUGACGGAGCAACGCCGCGUGAGUGAUGAAGGUCCUCGGAUCGUAAAACUCUGUUAUUAGGGAAGAACAAAUGUGUAAGUAACUGUGCACAUCUUGACGGUACCUAAUCAGAAAGCCACGGCUAACUACGUG